Molecule: ribosomal RNA, 261 nt
Filed under: uncultured bacterium
Lineage: Bacteria
Description: partial 16S ribosomal RNA
Rfam family: Bacterial small subunit ribosomal RNA
Source: RNAcentral
AGUGGCGGACGGGUGAGUAACGCGUGGGUAACCUGCCCUAUACAGGGGGAUAACAGUUAGAAAUGACUGCUAAUACCGCAUAAGCGCACUAAAACCGCAUGGUUCGGUGUGAAAAACUGAGGUGGUAUAGGAUGGACCCGCGUCUGAUUAGCUGGUUGGUGAGGUAACGGCUCACCAAGGCGACGAUCAGUAGCCGGCCUGAGAGGGCGACCGGCCACAUUGGGACUGAGACACGGCCCAAACUCCUACGGAAGGCAGCAG